CGUAGGGUGCAAGCGUUAAUCGGAAUUACUGGGCGUAAAGCGUGCGCAGGCGGUUUGGUAAGACAGAUGUGAAAUCCCCGGGCUCAACCUGGGAAUUGCAUUUGUGACUGCCCGGCUAGAGUGUGUCAGAGGGGGUAGAAUUCCACGUGUAGCAGUGAAAUGCGUAGAUAUGUGGAGGAAUACCGAUGGCGAAGGCAGCCCCCUGGGAUAACACUGACGCUCAUGCACGAAAGCGUGGGAGCAAACAGGAUU
This 252-nucleotide ribosomal RNA is filed under the name uncultured bacterium. RNAcentral's name for it is "partial 16S ribosomal RNA". It matches the Rfam family "Bacterial small subunit ribosomal RNA", at positions 526 to 779 of the family's 1533-position model. The record is from RNAcentral.